GGGGAUAAUAAUUGCAGCAUAAAAUUAUAGUUAUAGUGCUGGCCUCUAAUAUAUAAAGUGGGGUUCUUAAAAGUUGAAAAACAAAAGCACCUGCCUCCAAAAGAGAACUAAUAGAAUGUGCAGCAAAAAAAAAAAAAAAAAAAAAAAAAAAAAAAAAAAAAAGAUCCCAGAGCCACAGCCAGAGUGGGGCAAGGCGCUGACUAAGCUGUCGUCAACACGCCACUGUCCGUGGGGCUGGGGGGACUAAAAGAGCUAAUUAGCACACUCUAAAACCCUCUAUGGGGCUUUGGGGUCACGGGCACCCCUGCCUGGGUGCUGCCACGUUCCCCUCGGGGCAACAUGCCUUGUCUGGCCGUAGUCUAUGCCCAGAGACUACUCCUGCGUCAGCGCUGGAAGCAGCCAGCCCGACCCCGUGCUUGCUCGCUG
RNAcentral lists this long non-coding RNA (426 nucleotides) under Homo sapiens (human). RNAcentral describes it as "non-protein coding lnc-DCC-3:1". Lineage: Eukaryota; Metazoa; Chordata; Mammalia; Primates; Hominidae. The record is from RNAcentral.